GGGGAUUUGUUUCUUGCUUUCCACCUCGUAGCUCAUGUUAGUCCCCACUGGAGUGUUGUUCUGGGAAACCACGAAGUCUUGAAUGGCAUCGCAACAGGAAGCCAGUGUGGCUCUACAAGGGGUGAGAAUGAAAGUAAGCAGAAGACGAAGACAAGAGACAAACUCGGACUUAACAACAGAUGCAGCAAGAGGAGCUGUGCUGGCGAGUUUCAAAGAGAAGUCAAGCCAGCUCUCCUCCAUUCUUUUGUCACUCCUUGCCAACCUGCAGAAUCGCUCUCUAUGAAGGUCCCAUAGCACCCUACCCUUGGCUGGGACUGAGAACAGAACAUCCAUCCACCAAGGUGAAACCAGAGAGCUACAGCAAGAUACACCAUAUACUUCGAUCCCAGGGCAAAACCACAAAGAUGAACAGCCAAGACAACAUGUCCCCCCACUGACACAUCAGCUAAGUGUAGUAGCUGUGGAUAGAGAGCCAUUCUGCUGGUUGGCAGGGAGUCACAAAGAGAUGGAAGUGGGUGAGGAUGAAUGACUCACAGGGGCUGCAGAAAUAACCAGGGGACCAAGAGGUGUAUUGUAAUAGGCUAGAGAAAAGCAAGUUAGCUGAAGCAAUUACAAGUAUGUUCAAGGACAUUAAAAAGAAUAUGAUAACGCCUUAAGGAAGCUUGAGAAAACACGAUUGAAUGGAAUAAUGAAAACAAUUCAAAAUAUGAAAGAAUUUAAUAAUUGUUUUGUAAUAAUUAUAACAAUACAUAAAACGUAGUUAAGUAGCAUUACAGUCACCUAAGCAAUAAUGUAUAGCCACUUAUUUGAGAACAGUCAAUCAAUAUGAUGAUUUUAGAGUGGAAGGUUACUAUAAUACAGGCCAAUGUCAAAAUUUCAU
Molecule: long non-coding RNA, 880 nt
Filed under: Mus pahari (shrew mouse)
Lineage: Eukaryota; Metazoa; Chordata; Mammalia; Rodentia; Muridae
Description: predicted gene, 37126 (MGP_PahariEiJ_G0003227.1)
Source: RNAcentral